AAAGAAAGAUUUAUCGGUGAUGGAUGGGGCCGCGUUAGAUUAGCUUGUUGGUGGGGUAAUGGCCUACCAAGGCGACGAUCUAUAGCUGGUCUGAGAGGAUGAUCAGCCACACUGGGACUGAGACACGGCCCAGACUCCUACGGGAGGCAGCAGUGGGGAAUAUUGGACAAUGGGCGCAAGCCUGAUCCAGCAACGCCGCGUGAAUGAUGAAGGCCUUAGGGUUGUAAAAUUCUUUCGCUAGGGAAGAUAAUGACUGUACCUAGUAAAGAAGCCCCGGCUAACUCCGUGCCAGCAGCCGCGGUAAUACGGAGGGGGCUAGCGUUGUUCGGAAUUACUGGGCGUAAAGCGUGCGUAGGCGGAUUAAUAAGUUAGAUGUGAAAUCCCAGGGCUCAACCCUGGAACUGCAUUUAAAACUGUUAGUCUUGAGUUCUGGAGAGGUAAGUGGAAUUCCUAGUGUAGAGGUGAAAUUCGUAGAUAUUAGGAGGAACACCAGAGGCGAAGGCGGCUUACUGGACAGAUACUGACGCUGAGGCACGAAAGUGUGGGGAGCAAACAGGAUUAGAUACCCUGGUAGUCCACACCGUAAACGAUGAGAGCUAGUUGUCUGCAAGCAUGCUUGUAGGUGACGCAGCUAACGCAUUAAGCUCUCCGCCUGGGGAGUACGGUCGCAAGAUUAAAACUCAAAGAAAUUGACGGGGGCCCGCA
RNAcentral lists this ribosomal RNA (705 nucleotides) under Litorimonas sp. RNAcentral's name for it is "bacterial SSU rRNA". It matches the Rfam family "Bacterial small subunit ribosomal RNA", at positions 199 to 925 of the family's 1533-position model. The record is from RNAcentral. Lineage: Bacteria; Pseudomonadati; Pseudomonadota; Alphaproteobacteria; Maricaulales; Robiginitomaculaceae.